AUGAACGCUGGCGGCGUGCCUAAUCCAUGCAAGUCGAGCGAACGGACGAGAAGCUUGCUUCUCUGAUGUUAGCGGCGGACGGGUGAGUAACACGUGGAUAGCCUACCUAUAAGACUGGGAUAACUUCGGGAAACCGGAGCUAAUACCGGAUAAUAUUUUGAACCGCAUGGUUCAAAAGUGAAAGACGGUCUUGCUGUCACUUAUAGAUGGAUCCGCGCUGCAUUAGCUAGUUGGUAAGGUAACGGCUUACCAAGGCAACGAUGCAUAGCCGACCUGAGAGGGUGAUCGGCCACACUGGAACUGAGACACGGUCCAGACUCCUACGGGAGGCAGCAGUAGGGAAUCUUCCGCAAUGGGCGAAAGCCUGACGGAGCAACGCCGCGUGAGUGAUGAAGGUCUUCGGAUCGUAAAACUCUGUUAUUAGGGAAGAACAUAUGUGUAAGUAACUGUGCACAUCUUGACGGUACCUAAUCAGAAAGCCACGGCUAACUACGUG
This 496-nucleotide ribosomal RNA is filed under the name uncultured bacterium. RNAcentral's name for it is "partial 16S ribosomal RNA". It matches the Rfam family "Bacterial small subunit ribosomal RNA", at positions 29 to 507 of the family's 1533-position model. The record is from RNAcentral.